This 497-nucleotide ribosomal RNA is filed under the name uncultured bacterium. RNAcentral's name for it is "partial 16S ribosomal RNA". It matches the Rfam family "Bacterial small subunit ribosomal RNA", at positions 28 to 507 of the family's 1533-position model. The record is from RNAcentral.
GAUGAACGCUGGCGGCGUGCCUAAUACAUGCAAGUCGAGCGAACAGACGAGGAGCUUGCUCCUCUGACGUUAGCGGCGGACGGGUGAGUAACACGUGGAUAACCUACCUAUAAGACUGGGAUAACUUCGGGAAACCGGAGCUAAUACCGGAUAAUAUAUUGAACCACAUGGUUCAAUAGUGAAAGACGGUUUUGCUGUCACUUAUAGAUGGAUCCGCGCCGGAUUAGCUAGUUGGUAAGGUAACGGCUUACCAAGGCAACGAUGCGUAGCCGACCUGAGAGGGUGAUCGGCCACACUGGAACUGUGACACGGUCCAGACUCCUACGGGAGGCAGCAGUAGGGAAUCUUCCGCAAUGGGCGAAAGCCUGACGGAGCAACGCCGCGUGAGUGAUGAAGGUCUUCGGAUCGUAAAACUCUGUUAUUAGGGAAGAACAAAUGUGUAAGUAACUAUGCACGUCUUGACGGUACCUAAUCAGAAAGCCACGGCUAACUACGUG